UGAUGAGGUUGAUAGGUCUCGGGUGGAAGCGUGGCGACACGUGGAGCUGAGAGAUACUAAUCGGUCGAGGACUUAUCCUAAA
This 82-nucleotide ribosomal RNA is filed under the name Anaerobacillus arseniciselenatis. RNAcentral's name for it is "partial 23S ribosomal RNA". Lineage: Bacteria; Bacillati; Bacillota; Bacilli; Caryophanales; Bacillaceae. The record is from RNAcentral.